This 409-nucleotide ribosomal RNA is filed under the name uncultured bacterium. Its description in RNAcentral is "bacterial SSU rRNA". It matches the Rfam family "Bacterial small subunit ribosomal RNA", at positions 355 to 776 of the family's 1533-position model. The record is from RNAcentral.
UGGGGAAUAUUGGGCAAUGGAGGAAACUCUGACCCAGCGACGCCGCGUGCGGGAUGAAGGCCUUCGGGUUGUAAACCGCUUUCAGUAGGGAAGAAGCGAAAGUGACGGUACCUACAAAAGAAGCACCGGCUAACUAUGUGCCAGCAGCCGCGGUAAUACAUAGGUCUCAAGCGUUGUUCGGAUUCAUUGGGCGUAAAGGGUGCGUAGGCGGCUUGGUAAGUCAGAUGUGAAAUCCUGGGGCUCAACCUCGGAACUGCAUUUGAUACUGCCAGGCUAGAGUACUGGAGAGGAGACUGGAAUUUACGGUGUAGCGGUGGAAUGCGCAGAUAUCAGGAGGAACACCGAUGGCGAAGGCAGGUCUCUGGGCCAAUACUGACACUGAGGAGCGAAAGCGUGGGGAGCGAACAGG